RNAcentral lists this ribosomal RNA (995 nucleotides) under Paraclostridium sordellii. Its description in RNAcentral is "bacterial LSU rRNA". It matches the Rfam family "Bacterial large subunit ribosomal RNA", at positions 1928 to 2925 of the family's 2925-position model. The record is from RNAcentral. Lineage: Bacteria; Bacillati; Bacillota; Clostridia; Peptostreptococcales; Peptostreptococcaceae.
CGGCGGCCGUAACUAUAACGGUCCUAAGGUAGCGAAAUUCCUUGUCGGGUAAGUUCCGACCCGCACGAAAGGCGUAACGAUUUGGGCACUGUCUCAACAACAGACUGGGUGAAAUUGUAAUACCGGUGAAGAUGCCGGUUACCUGCGACAGGACGGAAAGACCCCAUGGAGCUUUACUGUAGCUUGACAUUGAGUCUCGGUGCUACAUGUACAGGAUAGGUGGGAGGCUAUGAAGCAUGGACGUCAGUCUGUGUGGAGCCAUCCUUGGGAUACCACCCUUGUAGUACUGGGAUUCUAACCAGCUGCCUUGAAUCAGGUAGUGGGACACUGUCAGGUGGACAGUUUGACUGGGGCGGUCGCCUCCCAAAGAGUAACGGAGGCGCUCAAAGGUUCUCUCAGCACGGUCGGAAAUCGUGCGUAGAGUGUAAAGGCAGAAGAGAGCUUGAUUGCAAGACAUACAGGUCGAGCAAGGACGAAAGUCGGACUUAGUGAUCCGGUGGUACCGCAUGGAAGGGCCAUCGCUCAACGGAUAAAAGCUACCCUGGGGAUAACAGGCUGAUCUCCCCCAAGAGUCCACAUCGACGGGGAGGUUUGGCACCUCGAUGUCGGCUCAUCACAUCCUGGGGCUGUAGUAGGUCCCAAGGGUUGGGCUGUUCGCCCAUUAAAGUGGUACGCGAGCUGGGUUCAGAACGUCGUGAGACAGUUCGGUCCCUAUCCGUCGCAGGCGUAGGAAAUUUGAGGAGACCUGUCCUUAGUACGAGAGGACCGGGAUGGACGUACCGCUGGUGUACCAGUUGUUCUGCCAAGGGCAUAGCUGGGUAGCUAAGUACGGAAAGGAUAAGCGCUGAAAGCAUCUAAGCGCGAAGCCUACUUCAAGAUAAGAUUUCCCACCGUAAGGUUAAGACCCCAUGAAGACUACAUGGUUGAUAGGUCAGAGGUGGAAGUGUGGUAACAUAUGUAGCUUACUGAUACUAAUAGGUCGAGGACUUGACCAA